Molecule: ribosomal RNA, 253 nt
Filed under: uncultured bacterium
Lineage: Bacteria
Description: partial 16S ribosomal RNA
Rfam family: Bacterial small subunit ribosomal RNA
Source: RNAcentral
UACGAAGGGGGCUAGCGUUGUUCGGAAUGACUGGGCGUAAAGGGCGCGUAGGCGGCUCAUACAGUCAGAUGUGAAAUUCCUGGGCUUAACCUGGGGGCUGCAUUUGAUACGUGUGGGCUUGAGUGGGGAAGAGGGUCGUGGAAUUCCCAGUGUAGAGGUGAAAUUCGUAGAUAUUGGGAAGAACACCGGUGGCGAAGGCGGCGACCUGGUCCUUGACUGACGCUGAGGCGCGAAAGCGUGGGGAGCAAACAGG